This 460-nucleotide ribosomal RNA is filed under the name uncultured bacterium. RNAcentral describes it as "partial 16S ribosomal RNA". It matches the Rfam family "Bacterial small subunit ribosomal RNA", at positions 338 to 795 of the family's 1533-position model. The record is from RNAcentral.
CCUACGGGCGGCAGCAGUGAGGAAUAUUGGUCAAUGGGCGUAAGCCUGAACCAGCCAAGUCGCGUGAGGGAUGAAGGCUCUAUGGAUUGUAAACUUCUUUUAUAAGGGAAUAAAGUGCGGGACGUGUCCUAUUUUGUAUGUACCUCAUGAAUAAGGACCGGCUAAUUCCGUGCCAGCAGCCGCGGUAAUACGGAGGAUCCGAGCGUUAUCCGGAUUUAUUGGGUUUAAAGGGUGCGUAGGCGGCCUGUUAAGCCAGCGGUGAAAGUCGGUGGCUCAACCAUAGAAUUGCCGUUGAAACUGGGGGGCUUGAGUAUGUUUGAGGCAGGCGGAAUGCGUGGUGUAGCGGUGAAAUGCUUAGAUAUCACGCAGAACCCCGAUUGCGAAGGCAGCCUGCCGAGCCAUGACUGACGCUGAUGCACGAAGGCGUGGGGAUCGAACAGGAUUAGAUACCCGGGUAGUC